AUGGCGUAUACAGAGGGCUGCCAACCAGCGAUGGUGAGCGAAUCCCACAAAGUACGUCGUAGUCCGGAUCGGAGUCUGCAACUCGACUCCGUGAAGUCGGAAUCGCUAGUAAUCGUGAAUCAGAAUGUCACGGUGAAUACGUUCCCGGGCCUUGUACACACCGCCCGUCACACCAUGGGAGUGGGCUGCACCAGAAGUAGAUAGCUUAACCUUCGGGAGGGCGUUUACCACGGUGUGGUUCAUGACUGGGGUGAAGUCGUAACAAGGUAGCCCUAGGGGAACCUGGGGCUGGAUCACCUCCUUACCUAA
Molecule: ribosomal RNA, 309 nt
Filed under: Photobacterium profundum 3TCK
Lineage: Bacteria; Pseudomonadati; Pseudomonadota; Gammaproteobacteria; Vibrionales; Vibrionaceae
Description: partial 16S ribosomal RNA
Rfam family: Bacterial small subunit ribosomal RNA
Source: RNAcentral